Molecule: long non-coding RNA, 467 nt
Organism: Cucurbita maxima (winter squash)
Lineage: Eukaryota; Viridiplantae; Streptophyta; Magnoliopsida; Cucurbitales; Cucurbitaceae
Exons: 3
Source: RefSeq, a predicted model, not a curated record
ACUGAACUUGAAAAAAAUUUAAGUUGGGUUCGUUACUUAAUAAAAAUAACGACUCGGUCCAAUCUAACCGAUAAAUUUUCCUUAAUUUAAAAUUUUUUUAGCACCGGCAUGAAAGGAUAAGGGACAUUGAUAGCAAAGUCCAAGAAUAUUCUAUGGUCUUUAUUCUGACAAAUGUACCUCUCUUGUCCUCUCCCUUAUUGUAAUUUACUAAUAAAAAAUUAAUAAAAUAAAGAAUAAAGGACAGUUUUGGUAUAAGGUAGUGAGUAAUACCCACAUUUAUGGAAGAAUCCCAACUAAAUUAACUAACUAAUGCCAAACUAACUAUAAAAGCAGCUCUUCUUUGUUCGAUCUACCCGAUUUCAUGCAUGCAAAUGCAAAAAGAGUAAUUCAAUGAGAUCAACGUUCUCUUAAUAAUCGUUAAUGUUAGAAAAUACGACUUUUCAAAAUGAUAUGAUAUUGUCUACUUU